CAAGAAGUGGACUGACAGAAAAGGGACUCUGUUCUUUUUGUGUUCACAUUGUCAGUUCAUUUGAAAGAGGACUCAGUUCUCUUUCUGGUCCACUAUAGUUGAUAUAUAAUAUAUAUUAAUGUGGUUUUGUUUUUACUUUGACGUGGCACUGCAGUGUGGUUAUGAAGCUCCUCACUUUCAGAUGAACAUAAAACUUGAGGAGAACCUCAGUGUGUCUGUGCUGUAGGCUGUUGCUGUUUGAUGUGUUCUACAUUCCACAUCUGGAGACGUGCAGUAUCUUCUGUGGACCAAACUACUCCUCGUCCUGCGCCCUUGCAAGCGUUACAGACUGAUGUGAUUUUGUCUGUUUUUCAAGCGUCCCAGGUCAUCAGCAUGUGAUCUAGAGGGCUGAAUACAACGGCAAAGAGUAAAGUGAACCUGGAGCGCUUUGUGUUCUCUAGGUACAGGUUAAGUGAACCGAACGUCUGAGUUUGGUUCGCUUCAGAGGGGUCUGAGUUCUAAUGCUGAGUCACUGCUCUGAGUCCGUUUAGAGUGCUGAAAAGGACCAAGUGUGAAAACACAUAACUAAUUAUGAGAUAUAUUUAUCAGUAAUUUCUUUAAAUGACAUUACAUGUCCACUGUCAGGAUUAUAUUAGUCUCCUAUAUUUUGUAGUGCCUCAUCAGCCCAGGCUUUAAAUCCUCCAUCAGCCCCUCCAGGAAGGAACAAAUCAUGCCCUCAUCCUGGAGUAAGAAGUGAGAGUGAGGCAGUUUUCUCCUCCAGAUGUUUUUGACUUGAUGCCACACACAGAUCAUGUUUCUGACAAUUGGAUUUUUCCUGUUUUUUCUUUUUUAAGCUUUUUAACAUUAGCCGAGGUAAAUGGGGAAAGGUAAACUCAACAGAUGACCCUGUGUCUCCCUCCACAGGGGGGCGUGCCCCUCUGCAAAGUAAAACACCACUGUCCUGCCCAGUCGCACCACAGAGGACUGGGACAGCUGAGAUUGAAUGACUUGGUGGUGGCAAGGGUAAGUUUUUAAACAAAUGCAGCAGUUUACGAAUUCAGAUUAUAUUCAGUUCAAUGAAGCGACAGCGCCACCUGCUGUCAACACUCAGUACCUGAAGUAUCACCACUGACACUGACCGUCUGCAGAAGGAGAACGCACAUCUGCAGAGACAGCUGGAAGCCACAAAAGCCAAUGUGUUUCCUAUACUGUUCUUACAUGACACACUGUUUUCCAUAUAGGAUUCUAUAUCUACUCAUCUUUAUAUAAAUCAGACUUGCUGAAUGUGUAUUUUGUUGUCUAUCGCUGUAUCAGAUUGUAGGAGGGCUCAAGAUUUAAGUGAAUGGCACCACUUCAGUUUACUGUGAGCUCUUUGAACACAGGUGUAGUGAGUGAUUAAUUUUGCUGAGUCAUUAAUGAGGCUGUUUGUAGUGUGUCCUCUGUCCAUCAUGUUGUAGAUCUAUACCUCUGCUACUGAGAUGCUUUAAAUUCAGAUUACAUUCAGUUUGACAAAGCGACAGCGCCACCUGCUGUCAAAACUCUACCUGCCUGAAGUGUUAUGUAGCGGAGAAUUAUGGGUAAUUACAGAGCUACGGAGGAUUCUCAAUGAGCUAACUAGCUUAACGAGCUAGGUAGCUUGCUGAUGUUUGUGGACAAAUAUAAAGUUAAUUGACCCAAAAAGCACAUAGAGGUUGAUUUGGCUUUAUCUGUUUGUAUAUUCAGUGUUAGUCAUUAAGUUCGCCGUGUUUUUAUAAAGUUAAAUAUCCGUUUUUAUGAUUUUUGCCGCCAUUACACACCAUCUGUGGUGCCGUUAGCUAACGUUAGCAUGACGCCGUCUGUACAGACAGAGCAGGAGCGGGUCGAUGGUCGUCCACACCAGAUUUCUGCCUACACCAGCUUUAAGGAAACAGAGGAACACACAACAAAUAUGAUCGUCAGCCUUGGAGACUGAUUCAGAGAGGGAGAAAAUUUGAGCCCAUCAAUGAAGCACAAGGACGGACGUGAUGUCGUAUAAGCUGACUGUCAUCAGGAGGUGGAGGGGAUGGUGGAUGGGUGAGACAGCUGCUGAGCUGCAGACCACCAACCAAGACCAACAAACGACAAAACUCUCUAACUUGCUAAAAAAACUUAUAGCGGCUUUUUAAACCCAAUUCAGACCAAAGUUUCGCGACAAGACGAAACCAUUUUAGAACAUUGCAGAGAAAAGUGUCAGCGGUGUGAACUGGCCGGUCUGAGCUUGACUCAAGCCGGCUGAUGGUGUCACCUGACACUCAGCUGGUCAAAUGGCCGGCGGCUGGGUUUAAAGCACAUCACCUGUUUCAACAGCCAAUCAGCUUGUAGUGAAGUCCACUGGUCAAGCUGCAGAACGCCGCAUUGACAGCAGUUGUCUGUUUCAACUUGUCUCAUCACAGAUCUUUGGUCUGA
Non-coding RNA from Epinephelus lanceolatus (giant grouper), 2403 nucleotides. The record is from RefSeq and is a predicted model, not a curated record. Lineage: Eukaryota; Metazoa; Chordata; Actinopteri; Perciformes; Serranidae.